RNAcentral lists this ribosomal RNA (493 nucleotides) under uncultured bacterium. RNAcentral's name for it is "partial 16S ribosomal RNA". It matches the Rfam family "Bacterial small subunit ribosomal RNA", at positions 30 to 523 of the family's 1533-position model. The record is from RNAcentral.
AUUGAACGCUGGCGGCAUGCUUUACACAUGCAAGUCGAACGGUAACAGGUUAAGCUGACGAGUGGCGAACGGGUGAGUAAUGCAUCGGAACGUGCCCGGUCGUGGGGGAUAACGCAGCGAAAGCUGCGCUAAUACCGCAUACGAUCUGAGGAUGAAAGCGGGGGACCGUAAGGCCUCGCGCGAUCGGAGCGGCCGAUGUCAGAUUAGGUAGUUGGUGGGGUAAAGGCUCACCAAGCCAACGAUCUGUAGCUGGUCUGAGAGGACGACCAGCCACACUGGGACUGAACCACGGCCACGACUCCUACGGGAGGCAGCAGUGGGGAAUUUUGGACAAUGGGCGAAAGCCUGAUCCAGCAAUGCCGCGUGCAGGAAGAAGGCCUUCGGGUUGUAAACUGCUUUUGUACGGAGCGAAAAGGUCUCCUCUAAUACAGGGGGCUCAUGACGGUACCGUAAGAAUAAGCACCGGCUAACUACGUGCCAGCCGCCGCCGUAA